This 394-nucleotide ribosomal RNA is filed under the name uncultured bacterium. RNAcentral's name for it is "partial 16S ribosomal RNA". It matches the Rfam family "Bacterial small subunit ribosomal RNA", at positions 523 to 918 of the family's 1533-position model. The record is from RNAcentral.
AUACGUAGGGGGCUAGCGUUAUCCGGAAUUACUGGGCGUAAAGGGUGCGUAGGUGGUUUCUUAAGUCAGAAGUGAAAGGCUACGGCUCAACCGUAGUAAGCUUUUGAAACUAAGAGACUUGAGUGCAGGAGAGGAGAGUAGAAUUCCUAGUGUAGCGGUGAAAUGCGUAGAUAUUAGGAGGAAUACCAGUUGCGAAGGCGGCUCUCUGGACUGUAACUGACACUGAGGCACGAAAGCGUGGGGAGCAAACAGGAUUUGAUACCCUGGUAGUCCACGCCGUAAACGAUGAGUACUAGCUGUCGGGGGUUACCCCCCUCGGUGGCGCAGCUAACGCAUUAAGUACUCCGCCUGGGAAGUACGCUCGCAAGAGUGAAACUCAAAUGAAUUGACGGGG